This 23-nucleotide non-coding RNA is filed under the name Arabidopsis thaliana (thale cress). Lineage: Eukaryota; Viridiplantae; Streptophyta; Magnoliopsida; Brassicales; Brassicaceae. The record is from RNAcentral.
UCCAUUGUCCUGCUUCUUUCGUC